AUUGAACGCUGGCGGCAUGCCUUACACAUGCAAGUCGAACGGCAGCAUGGAGAGCUUGCUCUCUGAUGGCGAGUGGCGAACGGGUGAGUAAUGCAUCGGAAAGUACCGUGUAAUGGGGGAUAACGUAGCGAAAGUUACGCUAAUACCGCAUACGACCUGAGGGUGAAAGCAGGGGAUCGCAAGACCUUGCGUUAUACGAGCGGCCGAUGUCAGAUUAGCUAGUUGGUGAGGUAAAGGCUCACCAAGGCGACGAGCUGUAGCGGGUCUGAGAUGAUGAUCCGCCACACUGGGACUGAGACACGGCCCAGACUCCUACGGGAGGCAGCAGUGUGGAACUUUGGACAAUGGGUGCAACCCUGAUCCAGCCAUGCCGCGUGAGUGAAGAAGGCCUUCGGGUUGUAAAGCUCUUUCGGCCUGGAAGAAAUCGCACAGGCUAAUACUCUGUGUGGAUGACGGUACCGGCAUAAGAAGCACCGGCUAACUACGUGCCAGCCGCCGCAGUAA
Molecule: ribosomal RNA, 504 nt
Filed under: uncultured bacterium
Lineage: Bacteria
Description: partial 16S ribosomal RNA
Rfam family: Bacterial small subunit ribosomal RNA
Source: RNAcentral